UGGCAGGUAGCGUAGUGGUAGAGUGCACGAGUUGUAUGUAUGAUGUCCUGGGUUCAAUCGCCAGCUUCUCCC
RNAcentral lists this transfer RNA (72 nucleotides) under Dallia pectoralis (Alaska blackfish). RNAcentral's name for it is "tRNA-OTHER". Lineage: Eukaryota; Metazoa; Chordata; Actinopteri; Esociformes; Umbridae. The record is from RNAcentral.